RNAcentral lists this small nuclear RNA (119 nucleotides) under Anolis carolinensis (green anole). RNAcentral's name for it is "U1 spliceosomal RNA (ENSACAG00000020510.2)". It matches the Rfam family "U1 spliceosomal RNA". From Rfam's summary of the family: U1 is a small nuclear RNA (snRNA) component of the spliceosome (involved in pre-mRNA splicing). Its 5' end forms complementary base pairs with the 5' splice junction, thus defining the 5' donor site of an intron. There are significant differences in sequence and secondary structure between metazoan and yeast U1 snRNAs, the latter being much longer (568 nucleotides as compared to 164 nucleotides in human). The record is from RNAcentral. Lineage: Eukaryota; Metazoa; Chordata; Lepidosauria; Squamata; Anolidae.
GGACUUCCUUGGCAGGGAAGAGACACCAUGAUUUUCCCAGGGUGAGGGUCACACAUUGCACUCUGGGUGAGCUGACCUUUGCGGUUUCCCCAAAUGCGGGAAACACAACUGCAAGAAUC